GCUAGUAAUCGCAGAUCAGAAUGCUGCGGUGAAUACGUUCCCGGGUCUUGUACACACCGCCCGUCACACCAUUGGGAGUCAGUAACGCCCGAAGUCUGUGACCCAACCGCAAGGAGGGAGCAGCCGAAGGCAGGUCGGAUGACUGGGGUGAAGUCGUAACAAGGUACC
RNAcentral lists this ribosomal RNA (168 nucleotides) under uncultured bacterium. RNAcentral describes it as "partial 16S ribosomal RNA". It matches the Rfam family "Bacterial small subunit ribosomal RNA", at positions 1334 to 1500 of the family's 1533-position model. The record is from RNAcentral.